AAACUAACAAGGAUUCCCCUAGUAACGGCGAGUGAAGAGGGAAGAGCCCAAGAUUGAAAGCUGGCGUCUUCGGCGUCCGCAUUGUAAUCUCAAGAAGUGUUUUCCGCUUCGGACCAUGCCUAAGUCCCUUGGAAAAGGGCAUCAUAGAGGGUGAUAAUCCCGUACAUGGCAUGGAGCGCCCGAAGCUUUGUGAUACGCUUUCUACGAGUCGAGUUGUUUGGGAAUGCAGCUCAAAAUGGGUGGUAAAUGCCAUCUAAGGCUAAAUAUUGGGGAGAGACCGAUAGCGAACAAGUACAGUGAUGGAAAGAUGAAAAGAACUUUGAAAAGAGAGUUAAACAGUACGUGAAAUUGCCAAAAGGGAAGGGUAGGAGGUCAGAGAUGCGUCUUGGGAUUCAGCCUUGCUUUUGCAUGGUGUUUUUCCCAAGUUGCAGGCCAACGUCGGUUUUGGGCACUGGAGAAGGGUAGGAGGAACGUGGCACCUCUCGGGGUGUGUUAUAGCCUCCUACUGGAUACAGCGACCGAGACCGAGGAACGCAGCGUACUCGUAAGAGCGGGCCUUUUGGCACCUUUACGCUUAGGGCGUUGGCAUAAUGGCCCUCUACCACCCGUCUUG
Molecule: ribosomal RNA, 613 nt
Filed under: Ustilago sp. DMKU-SE41
Lineage: Eukaryota; Fungi; Basidiomycota; Ustilaginomycetes; Ustilaginales; Ustilaginaceae
Description: LSU rRNA
Rfam family: Eukaryotic large subunit ribosomal RNA
Source: RNAcentral